Pelodiscus sinensis (Chinese soft-shelled turtle) is the source of this 148-nucleotide non-coding RNA. Lineage: Eukaryota; Metazoa; Chordata; Testudines; Trionychidae. The record is from RefSeq and is a predicted model, not a curated record.
CAGAGCUGAGAAGACAGAAGUGCUGAGUGAAGAUCUCUUGCAGGUGGAGAAGCGCCUGGAGCUGGUGAAGCAGGUGUCCCACAGCACCCACAAGAAGCUGACGGCCUGCCUGCAGGGGCAGCAAGGCGUGGAUGCCGACAAGCGCUCC